AAAGGCAGGCGCUACCACCAGGGUCUUACAGCUUGCAGUGAUUUGGGUCCUGAUGACCACGGCAUUGUUCUAAUAUCUCCAAAGCUUGGCCAGGUCCUACAGAAUGAAGCUCACCUUGUGAGUCUGUUUUGCAAUUUUGAGAGACCGUGUACAUCCAUUCUGCCUAAGCUUUAUGUUGAGGUAAAAUUUCUGUUGUUUCCUAGAAGAACCUCAUGCUUUAUGAUUUGUGUCUGUCACUGAGGCUCUCCCCACGCACAUCUUGUUGUCCAUGUUCUAGUCCAUCUUUCUUGGUGCACCUUGGCUUCCCAAAUGCUAGGAUUGCAAUGUGUCACCAUGUGCCACCAUGCCCAGCACAUCCCUCCAGUUCUUAAAGGCCACACUAAAUGCCCCUUCCUUCUUCCACUGGUGGAAUUCACUCAAUACUUAUCACUUAUGCCUGGGAAAGGAGAAAGUUGUCAGAGUGCAUGGCUCAAGAAAAGAGAUGACUCUAGUCCUGCAUGACUUUACAAAGUAAACAUGUGCUCUCUAAGGGCUACCCUCAGCCAACCUGUGGUCAGACAGCAGAGUAUGGAGUGGUAGAGUUGGCUUCCUGGGAGAGACAGUCACCGAGAAUGGCUCUCGUGUGAGAACCAGCAGCGAUACUCAUGUUAGCACACACACAAAGCAGGAUGUGGUGGACGGCGUCAGAGGAAGACCCAGAUGGGCACUGGUUGUGAGAGAGGUGCACUGGAUCAAGUUCCCAGGCCCAUGGGCUGUAGGUGUUCACAGUGAAUUCUCACAAGAUGGACGUCUGGGCUCACGUGGGUUCCUGAUGUUCUGCCAUGUUUGUGAGAGGAUAUGUCGAGGCCUCACACUGGGUUCUUGGAUUUUGAAGCAUUUGAUUUAGCUAAUUGUUCAGAGUCAAUU
Molecule: long non-coding RNA, 906 nt
Filed under: Rattus norvegicus (Norway rat)
Lineage: Eukaryota; Metazoa; Chordata; Mammalia; Rodentia; Muridae
Description: long non-coding RNA NONRATT014605
Source: RNAcentral